This is a non-coding RNA of Danio rerio (zebrafish), 112 nucleotides long. NCBI's taxonomy places the organism in Eukaryota, Metazoa, Chordata, Actinopteri, Cypriniformes, Danionidae. The record is from Rfam.
GUCAGAAUGGCCGAGUGGUCUAAGGCGCCAGACUCAAGAUGAAUCAAUCUUCUCAAGGAAUGAGGAUUCUGGUCUCCAGAUGGAGGCAUGGGUUCAAAUCCCACCUCUGACA